ACAAAUUUAAACACACCAUACUAGCUUCAGCUGCGCAGCUUCUUUUACUAUCAACUGCUUCGCAGUUGUACCGUAAGAAUAGAGCAGUGUAGCAGUAGCCAGUAAAAAUGGUAAACACGAUAUAUGUUGACGAACACAGACACAAUAUAAAA
Molecule: unclassified non-coding RNA, 152 nt
Filed under: uncultured fungus
Lineage: Eukaryota; Fungi
Description: sequence contains ITS1, 5.8S rRNA gene
Source: RNAcentral